UCCCUGGUGACUCAGAGGUUAAAGUGUCUGCCUGGGAUGCAGGAGACACGGGUUCGAUCCCUGGGUUGGGAA
This is a non-coding RNA of Bos taurus (domestic cattle), 72 nucleotides long. Lineage: Eukaryota; Metazoa; Chordata; Mammalia; Artiodactyla; Bovidae. The record is from Rfam.